Molecule: small nuclear RNA, 22 nt
Filed under: Arabidopsis thaliana (thale cress)
Lineage: Eukaryota; Viridiplantae; Streptophyta; Magnoliopsida; Brassicales; Brassicaceae
Description: snRNA_14648
Source: RNAcentral
GUUUUUGGUCCCAAGGCUCGCU